This 59-nucleotide transfer RNA is filed under the name Diaphorina citri (Asian citrus psyllid). It matches the Rfam family "tRNA", at positions 7 to 64 of the family's 71-position model. From Rfam's summary of the family: Transfer RNA (tRNA) molecules are approximately 80 nucleotides in length. Their secondary structure includes four short double-helical elements and three loops (D, anti-codon, and T loops). The record is from Rfam by way of RNAcentral. Lineage: Eukaryota; Metazoa; Arthropoda; Insecta; Hemiptera; Psyllidae.
AUGGCGUAGUGGUCACUGCGCUCGCCUUGCACGCGGGAGACCAGGGUUCGAUUCCCUCU